This 1008-nucleotide long non-coding RNA is filed under the name Apteryx haastii (Great spotted kiwi). RNAcentral describes it as "lncRNA (ENSAHAG00000013375.1)". The record is from RNAcentral. Lineage: Eukaryota; Metazoa; Chordata; Aves; Apterygiformes; Apterygidae.
AUGUCUCGAUGGGGUUCCGCCACAACACAGUAUAACAAAACAAUGAGAGAAAUUAAGGUGAAAGGAAUGUUUCCUGCAGUUGAGUGUGCUAUGAUGGUAAAUUGUACCAGCAAAACCCGACCGUGCCACAAUUUUACGGAAGAUGGGCCUCCUCUUAAAUGUAAUCAAACAACCAAUGUAACCUUUAACUAUGCACAUAUUGUGCUCUCUACAGGAAUGUUUUGGCUAYGUGGGGUAAAAGCUUACUCCUACAUUCCAGCCAAUGCUACUGGUGGCYCCUGUACCAUAGGUCGCUUGAACAUCUAUAUGCCAAGCAAACAAGAGAUAGAGGGAAUAGCUGGGAAUCAAACACGAAAGAGGAGGGAGGCCUCAUCCCUCAACCCUGAAUGUAAUUCAGAAGUAAUCUUAUUCUCAGCAUCACAAAUCUCAGCUGCRGCAUUCCUURCACCUGGGGUGGGAGUUGCUAUGAACUAUCAAGCUAUAAAAAAGAUUGCAUGUUCUUUAGCUAAAACUAUCAACACCACUUCUGCUGUCUUAUCAGCAAUGCUUAAAGAUGUGCAAGCCUUGCAUGCCGCUGUAUUAGAAAACAGAGUGGCAGUUGACUAUCUUCUUUUACGACACAACCAUGGAUGUGAAGAAUUCAAAGGCAUGUGCUGCUUCAACCUGAGUGACCAUUCGACCCUGAUUGAAGGGGAGAUCACAAACCUUAAACRCCUAGCUUUGGACAUUAAACAGCAUAAUGAUAACGUGUUUAAUUGGCUGCAAAAAUUGUUCCAAAAUUUYGGACUGUCUGUAUCAGCUUGGCUCGCGUCGGGCUUACAAACUGUCAUAAUAAUUGCACUCAUGAUAAUCAUUAUAUGUAUUGCUUUUGYCUGCUUGAAAGCUUUAAUAUUACGCACAAUCUUUGCUAAGGUAAAUGCUUUAAACACAGGCUACUUGCCUUUGCAACAUAAGACCAAACCCAUGAUUGUCCUUGAGGGGCAAAAAAGGGGGGGUGURCGGCUGUGA